This 30-nucleotide small RNA is filed under the name Bombyx mori (domestic silkworm). Its description in RNAcentral is "piRNA piR-bmo-2145214". The record is from RNAcentral. Lineage: Eukaryota; Metazoa; Arthropoda; Insecta; Lepidoptera; Bombycidae.
UGUUUGUGUCAGUGUAGGGCAUGCUCCCGU